CCUUUGAUGACGACUGGCGCACGGGUGAGUAACGCGUAUCCAACCUUCCCAUAACUACGGGAUAACCCGUUGAAAGACGGCCUAAUACCGUAUGAUAUCGUUUGCUGACAUCAAAUAACGAUUAAAGGUUUAGCGGUUAUGGAUGGGGAUGCGUCUGAUUAGCUUGUUGGCGGGGUAACGGCCCACCAAGGCAACGAUCAGUAGGGGUUCUGAGAGGAAGGUCCCCCACAUUGGAACUGAGACACGGUCCAAACUCCUACGGGAGGCAGCAGAU
This 274-nucleotide ribosomal RNA is filed under the name uncultured Prevotella sp. RNAcentral's name for it is "partial 16S ribosomal RNA". It matches the Rfam family "Bacterial small subunit ribosomal RNA", at positions 82 to 354 of the family's 1533-position model. Lineage: Bacteria; Pseudomonadati; Bacteroidota; Bacteroidia; Bacteroidales; Prevotellaceae. The record is from RNAcentral.